UACAGGGGGCUCGAGCGUUAGUCGGAAUCACUGGGCUUAAAGGGUGCGUAGGCGGCCCGCCAAGUGCUUUGUGAAAUCCCCGAGCUCAACUCGGGAACUGCAGGGCAAACUGGUGGGCUUGAAGCAGGUAGGGGCUGGAAGAACAGUUGGUGGAGCGGUGAAAUGCGUAGAGAUCUGGAGGAAUACCGGUGGCGAAGGCGGCCCCCUGGACAAAGACUGACGCUCAGGUGCGAAAGCGUGGGGAGCAAACAGG
Molecule: ribosomal RNA, 253 nt
Filed under: uncultured bacterium
Lineage: Bacteria
Description: partial 16S ribosomal RNA
Rfam family: Bacterial small subunit ribosomal RNA
Source: RNAcentral